Molecule: ribosomal RNA, 497 nt
Filed under: uncultured bacterium
Lineage: Bacteria
Description: bacterial SSU rRNA
Rfam family: Bacterial small subunit ribosomal RNA
Source: RNAcentral
CGGCGUGCUUAACACAUGCAAGUCGAACGAGACGAUUUAGAAGCUUGCUUUAUGAGUCGAGUGGCAAACGGGUGAGUAACGCGUAGACAACCUGCCGCAAAGAUGGGGACAACAGUCCGAAAGGACUGCUAAUACCGAAUGUUGUAUCUCCUCCGCAUGGAAGAGAUAUUAAAGAUGGCCUCUACUUGUAAGCUAUCGCUUUGCGAUGGGUCUGCGUCUGAUUAGCUAGUUGGUGGGGGCAACGGCCUACCAAGGCGACGAUCAGUAGCCGGUCUGAGAGGAUGAACGGCCACAUUGGAACUGAGACACGGUCCAGACUCCUACGGGAGGCAGCAGUGGGGAAUCUUCCGCAAUGGGCGAAAGCCUGACGGAGCAACGCCGCGUGAGUGAAGAAGGUCUUCGGAUCGUAAAGCUCUGUUGUCGGGGACGAAUGUUGAGACCUAGAACAUAGGUUUCAAAUGACGGUACCUGACGAGGAAGCCACGGCUAACUACGUG